This is a non-coding RNA of Acanthosepion pharaonis, 96 nucleotides long. The record is from the annotation of a GenBank genome assembly. Lineage: Eukaryota; Metazoa; Mollusca; Cephalopoda; Sepiida; Sepiidae.
AGCGUGGAAACACUGAUUUCCGUAUGUUCACUGAAGUUAAGCAACGUUGAGCCUGGUCAGUACCUAGAUGGGUAACCCUUAGGGAAUACCAGGUUG